Long non-coding RNA from Lycium ferocissimum, 673 nucleotides. RefSeq lists it as uncharacterized. The record is from RefSeq and is a predicted model, not a curated record. NCBI's taxonomy places the organism in Eukaryota, Viridiplantae, Streptophyta, Magnoliopsida, Solanales, Solanaceae. The transcript has 3 exons.
UCUAUCUUAUAUUUUCUCAAGUCUUAGUCCUUAUCAUCGUGUCUGCCAAAAAACCCAUUACCAACAAACUUAGUCUCCAUGGUUGUACCCUUUCGUUGUUUCUGGACCUAGCGGAAAACCCAUCACCAGCAAACUUGGUUUCUAUAAGCGAAAUGUGAUUUUCUGACCUAUCCAUGUUCUCCGGUGUGUAUACUUGACCGUGUGCCCUAUAACUGCCCGAGAUCCUAUCUUGCAUACCAAAAUUAAUUUCCCGGAGACUGUCAAUGCUCAGUAAUUUUUUAAAGCUAUUUUUCAUCAUUUCCACGCCAGUGAGGCUACUAGCUGAGGAAUUUAGCUACAAUAUUAUGGAUGGGAUAUCAAUUGAUAGACCACUUCGAUUUAUAGCAACAAGCCAUGAACUUUGACGCUCUGUGUGUUAAGCUCUAGCUUCUACCUCAGUGAUUUUUGAUUCUGUCAGUUUUAGGAUCAAACCUGAGUUCCCAUGUUGGCCAGUAGUGCGAAUCUUGCUUCAAUGUGAGCACUCAAGGCUUCCCAUUCAGGUGUACUAUUCGUACAUGAACAAACUCUCCAUUCUCUAUUGCUGCUGGCAAGGAACUUUAUUGAAAUUCAGUUUAUAGAGGAUAGCACAAACUCUCCAUUCUCUAUUGCUGCUGGUAAGGAACUUAUUGAAAUU